ACUUUUACUUCUUAAUAAGACAAUUUAUUUACAUUUUGUGUGGGUCAAAAUUAGGCUAAAAUAGAGUCAAAAUCAGAUUAGUUUCGGUUAAAUUAGGGGUAAAUCAAAUCGGAUGUAUAAUUAUCGGUUAACUGGUCGGUUCAAUUGGAGGCGUAGUUUUAAGAAUAAAUCCGAAAGUACAUGUAGUUUUAUCGAGAUUAAAAUUGUUUAUGGAGGUUUUUCAAGUGGCUAAAAGUUUAGGGUGGAAAGUUGAGAUUCCAACUAGUAUAUGGCUGAAAAUUCAGGCAACCCAAUUAAAAAGAAAGAUUAUGAGUUUUGUUGAGAAGAAAACACGUGCAAUAAAGAGCUUUUUGGUUUCUUCUUUUGUGUUCACUCUGGAAAAGAUGUUUCAGAAACAGAGGAAUUGCAGAGUGUAGCA
Molecule: small RNA, 418 nt
Filed under: Arabidopsis thaliana (thale cress)
Lineage: Eukaryota; Viridiplantae; Streptophyta; Magnoliopsida; Brassicales; Brassicaceae
Description: ATSL234450
Source: RNAcentral